GACGAACGCUGGCGGCGUGCUUAACACAUGCAAGUCGAACGAUGAUCUCCCGCUUGCGGGGGUGAUUAGUGGCGAACGGGUGAGUAAUACGUGAGUAACCUGCCCUUGACUCUGGGAUAAGCCUGGGAAACCGGGUCUAAUACUGGAUACUACUUCCUGCCGCAUGGUGGGGGGUGGGAAGGGUUUUACUGGUUUUGGAUGGGCUCACGGCCUAUCAGCUUGUUGGUGGAGUAAUGGCUCACCAAGGCGACGACGGGUAGCCGGCCUGAGAGAGUGAGCGGCGACACUGGGACUGAGACAAGGCCGAGACGGCGAAGGGAGGAAGAAGGGGGGAAGAUUGAACAAGGGGCGGAAGGCGGAUGAAGAGAGGCCGCGUGAGGGAAGACGGACUUCGGGUUGAAAAACUGGUGCAGGAGGGAAGAAGCCAGAAGUGACGGUACCUGCAGAAGAAGCGCCGGCUAACUACGUG
Molecule: ribosomal RNA, 469 nt
Filed under: uncultured bacterium
Lineage: Bacteria
Description: partial 16S ribosomal RNA
Rfam family: Bacterial small subunit ribosomal RNA
Source: RNAcentral